AAAACGACCAAUUUUAAAGCAAAAAAAAAAACCGAUUCAUAUCUAACAAUAUGAAUUUUGAUGUUCUUUCUCGGUCUGAAAAAGACCCAUUGCAUGCGUAUGCAUAUAUGAAAAAAGACCCAUAGUUUUCUUCACUGAUCUCGGUCUAAUCUCUCGACAACGAAAAACUUCUGCAUUUUUUUCAAAGUGAGACAGAUAAAAAACACAAACGUCUCCAUCAAUCAAGGUGUACCGGAUUCUCCAGCCUCCGUAGUCAUCAUCGUUCAUGAUACCAUGCAAUAGCAGAUUUUGGUUGAUUUGCCAAUUUCUCAAAUCAAUGCUUCACUUUCACAGUUUCAAAUGAGUGAGUUGGUCAAGAAAUACGAAACAAUCAAAUCAAUGGUGCCGAUUAUAAAAAGACUGUGAUGAAUAGAAGAAGAAGAAGAAGAAUGGUUAGUGAGAGAGAAGCAAAGCUUCCAUGUGCAGAGAUGGGUAGAAAAGGAUAUGAAUCUGGUGGAGGCACCAAAUGAGCAAGCAGUUAUGAUGUCGUAGUAGAAAGAUGAAAAGGAGACGCAACAACUUGGUGCUUUCUGGCUAAAAACUGUGAAUAUGUGCAGAUUAAUACUUAGGCGUGAAUUUGUAGAGGAUCGAACAUUGAUACUUUUGAAUCAUCAUUAACAUCAAACCUUGUUGAGUAGUUCUUCCAUGAAUGAAGAACCCUCACUUGCACCUUCCAAGAAGUCUUGUAAGGCUUAACGUCUCGGAGGGAAUUGAAGAUUAUGCAGAGAGAUUUGAGGGCGGAAUUGAUUGAAAAAAUAUUGUGGGAAUAGUUACCAAAAAUUUCGAAAGAAUAUUCUUCAAUUUGAUUGUCGAGCUUGACAAUAUUGGGCUUAUGGACAAUUUAAAAAACUGUAUCAUGCUAAUAUGGCCGAAAAUGUAUUAAAUUGGCCCAAACAAAGGAUGA
Camelina sativa (false flax) is the source of this 943-nucleotide long non-coding RNA. RefSeq lists it as uncharacterized. The record is from RefSeq and is a predicted model, not a curated record. Lineage: Eukaryota; Viridiplantae; Streptophyta; Magnoliopsida; Brassicales; Brassicaceae.